Molecule: ribosomal RNA, 300 nt
Filed under: Triticum aestivum (bread wheat)
Lineage: Eukaryota; Viridiplantae; Streptophyta; Magnoliopsida; Poales; Poaceae
Description: partial small subunit ribosomal RNA
Source: RNAcentral
AUGCUGCUAUUUACAUUUAUCCAUGGGCUGCUACACUACUACUUGCUAGUGCUAGCUUGUUGGCACACAACUACUCAACCUGAACCUUGUAUUUGUGUAUUUGUGCUGCUGCUGAACCUUGUAUUUCUGCUGCUAUUUGUGCACCUGAAGAUCCUGAACCUUGUAUUUCUGCUCCUGAACCUUGUAUUUGUGCUUCUGGGACCUGCACCAUGUAUUUGUGAUGCUAUUUGUGCUCCUGAACCUUGUAUUUGGCUUCCUGAUACUGUGUUUUCUAUUUGUUCUAUCAUAUAUUCACAUUGA